GUGGCUGUGGCUCAGUGGGUAGAGCAUUGCCUCACACGCAUGAGGCUCUGGGUUCAAUCCUCAGCACCACA
RNAcentral lists this transfer RNA (71 nucleotides) under Ictidomys tridecemlineatus (thirteen-lined ground squirrel). RNAcentral describes it as "Spermophilus tridecemlineatus (thirteen-lined ground squirrel) tRNA". It matches the Rfam family "tRNA". From Rfam's summary of the family: Transfer RNA (tRNA) molecules are approximately 80 nucleotides in length. Their secondary structure includes four short double-helical elements and three loops (D, anti-codon, and T loops). The record is from Rfam by way of RNAcentral. Lineage: Eukaryota; Metazoa; Chordata; Mammalia; Rodentia; Sciuridae.